This 200-nucleotide long non-coding RNA is filed under the name Ananas comosus (pineapple). RNAcentral's name for it is "long non-coding RNA (ACOM_LNC040737)". The record is from RNAcentral. Lineage: Eukaryota; Viridiplantae; Streptophyta; Magnoliopsida; Poales; Bromeliaceae.
GAUUGAGAGGAGGGAGAAGAGCUUCUUGAUCUCCUUCUUGAUCUUCUUCUUCCUUUCUGUCCUUCUCUUCCUCUUCUUUCUUCCUCUUUUCUUCUUCUCCUUCUUUUCUCCUUCAACCGGUUAGAGAGAGAGAGAGCAAUAGAGCGAGAGAGAGGCUGUGAGAAUGAAAGAGGAGAGAGUUAAGAGUGAGAGGGAUAUAA